This is a long non-coding RNA of Mercenaria mercenaria, 345 nucleotides long. RefSeq lists it as uncharacterized. The transcript is spliced from 3 exons. The record is from RefSeq and is a predicted model, not a curated record. NCBI's taxonomy places the organism in Eukaryota, Metazoa, Mollusca, Bivalvia, Venerida, Veneridae.
GUCUUGGAUAACCUUUGACAGCUUUGCGUUCGGACCAUUCAGCAAUGUCAGCAAGCCUUAUCUGAUCUGCAUGUACUUGAACAACGGAGUUGUCAAGCUGGUUUUUAAUAAGGACCUCCCUAAAGGCAGAACUUGUAAAUUCUGACCCUCGGUCAUGAAUUAUCUGGAGAGGACAUCCAUAUCUAGGAUAUAUCUCAUUCAAAAAAUCUGGUGGUCGUGAAAAGAAAUCAGCAAUAACAUUUGCCUUUCCUGGAAGAUACUCUAUCUUACAGUUGUAACCACUAAUAGACAAUGCCCAUAACUGAAUUUUCUUGUUUUGCAUUGGGCUUUUUAAUAAAUACUGCA